CGAAAAACCGGCGGAGAAGAGCGCCGGCUCGGACAACUACAGCACGGAGUCGCCGGCAGAAGGUGCCGCCGACGCAUCGUGUCUUGAAAAGACUUGACGCAGAGGUAAAAAGUUUCAAAACCUGCUGCUGAUGUUGAGCGAUUCUAGCAGGGUUAAAUGAUCCGUCAAUGCUAUACGCUGCUGUUUCAAUUACUUACAGUUA
This 202-nucleotide small RNA is filed under the name Caballeronia glathei. RNAcentral's name for it is "Burkholderia glathei Burkholderia sRNA Bp1_Cand738_SIPHT". It matches the Rfam family "Burkholderia sRNA Bp1_Cand738_SIPHT". Lineage: Bacteria; Pseudomonadati; Pseudomonadota; Betaproteobacteria; Burkholderiales; Burkholderiaceae. The record is from Rfam by way of RNAcentral.